This 523-nucleotide long non-coding RNA is filed under the name Homo sapiens (human). Its description in RNAcentral is "HSALNT0357404". The record is from RNAcentral. Lineage: Eukaryota; Metazoa; Chordata; Mammalia; Primates; Hominidae.
CAGUGGGUCCAGAAGCCCUUUGGAUACUGAUCAGAGGCUCCUUUUGGGCAGAGAUCACAGCAGCAGCCACCAGUUCCGCAGGCUGGGAAGUCCAAAAUCAAGAGGCCUCUGGAGAGGGUAUUCCUACUACAUUCUCACAUGGAGGCCGCGUGGUCUCUACUGCUCCGCCCUGGUCAGGAGGAGAAAGAAGAGGGCCAGGCGCCAUGUGCCCGCACUCUCCCUGGAUGCUGGAGGCCGGUCCGCCCUAGGCAGGAGGAGAAGGAAGAGAACUGGGUGCUGCCCACCUGCACUCUCCCUGGAUGCUGGAGGCUGGAGGCAGUGAGGCAGCAACAGCACAAGGCGACUUUGGAGCGGCCUAAUAUAGCUACCUAGCCUUCCGCUGUGCCUCCUCCCAGAGCCCAAGAAGCCUGGAACUUGUGGCAUCCAGCGCUUAAAGGAGGAGAGGGCAACCCAGCCAAGGGUGAGUCCGGGAGUCUGGGGUGCCAGCGGCAGAGGGAGGCCAGGCAGGAGUCUCGGCCUCCCA